CGCGUAGGUGGUAGUGCAAGCCUGGGGUGGAAUCCCAGGGCUUAACCCUGGAACUGCCUUGGAAACUGUAUUACUUGAGUCAGUGAGGGGAGGGUAGAAUUCCUGGUGUAGCGGUGAAAUGCGUAGAUAUCAGGAGGAAGGCCUGUGGCGAAGGCGGCCCUCUGGCGCUGAACUGACACUGAGGCGCGAAAGCGUGGGUAGCAAACAGGAUUAGAUACCCUGGUAGUCCACGCCCUAAACGGUGGGUACUAGGUGUGGGGCUCGUAAGGGUUCUGUGCCGAAGCGAAAGCAUUAAGUACCCCGCCUGGGGAGUACGGCCGCAAGGUUGAA
Molecule: ribosomal RNA, 330 nt
Filed under: uncultured bacterium
Lineage: Bacteria
Description: bacterial SSU rRNA
Rfam family: Bacterial small subunit ribosomal RNA
Source: RNAcentral